RNAcentral lists this ribosomal RNA (253 nucleotides) under uncultured bacterium. RNAcentral describes it as "partial 16S ribosomal RNA". It matches the Rfam family "Bacterial small subunit ribosomal RNA", at positions 524 to 776 of the family's 1533-position model. The record is from RNAcentral.
UACGAAGGGGGCUAGCGUUGUUCGGAAUCACUGGGCGUAAAGCGCACGUAGGCGGAUUGUUAAGUCGGGGGUGAAAUCCUGAGGCUCAACCUCAGAACUGCCUUCGAUACUGGCGAUCUUGAGUCCGGAAGAGGUUGGUGGAACAGCUAGUGUAGAGGUGAAAUUCGUAGAUAUUAGCUAGAACACCAGUGGCGAAGGCGGCCAACUGGUCCGGAACUGACGCUGAGGUGCGAAAGCGUGGGGAGUGAACAGG